CCUACGGGAGGCAGCAGUGAGGAAUAUUGGUCAAUGGACGCAAGUCUGAACCAGCCAAGUAGCGUGCAGGAUGCAGGCCCUCCGGGUUGUAAACUGCUUUUAGUUGGGAAUAAAAGGGGGCUCGUGAGCCCCGUAUUGUAUGUACCAUCAGCAAAAGGACCGGCUACUUCCGUGCCAGCAGCCGCGGUAAUACGGAGGGUCCGGGCGUUAUCCGGAUUUAUUGGGUUUAAAGGGAGCGUAGGCCGGCUUUUAAGUCAGCUGUGAAAGUCCGCGGCUCAACCGUGGAAUUGCAGUUGAUACUGGAGGACUGGAGUGCACACAGGGAUGCCGGAAUUCAUGGUGUAGCAGUGAAAUGCUUAGAUAUCAUGAAGAACACCGAUCGCGAAGGCAAGUGUCCGGGGUGCAACUGACGCUGAGGCUCGAAAGUGCGGGGAUCAAACAGGAUUAGAUACCCUUGUAGUC
This 462-nucleotide ribosomal RNA is filed under the name uncultured bacterium. Its description in RNAcentral is "partial 16S ribosomal RNA". It matches the Rfam family "Bacterial small subunit ribosomal RNA", at positions 338 to 795 of the family's 1533-position model. The record is from RNAcentral.